This 310-nucleotide ribosomal RNA is filed under the name uncultured bacterium. Its description in RNAcentral is "bacterial SSU rRNA". It matches the Rfam family "Bacterial small subunit ribosomal RNA", at positions 28 to 334 of the family's 1533-position model. The record is from RNAcentral.
GACGAACGCUGGCGGCGUGCCUAACACAUGCAAGUCGAACGGAGUUAAGAGAGCUUGCUUUCUUGACUUAGUGGCGAACGGGUGAGUAACGCGUGAGGAAUCUGCCUUUCAGUGGGGGAUAACAGUUGGAAACAGCUGCUAAUACCGCAUAAUGCAACGGAAUCGCAUGACUCUGUUGCCAAAAGAUUUAUCGCUCUGAGAUGGCCUCGCGUCUGAUUAGCUAGUUGGCGGGGUAACGGCCCACCAAGGCGACGAUCAGUAGCCGGACUGAGAGGUUGGCUGGCCACAUUGGGACUGAGACACGGCCCAG